RNAcentral lists this long non-coding RNA (306 nucleotides) under Anser brachyrhynchus (Pink-footed goose). Its description in RNAcentral is "lncRNA (ENSABRG00000022081.1)". The record is from RNAcentral. Lineage: Eukaryota; Metazoa; Chordata; Aves; Anseriformes; Anatidae.
UGCAGGAGGAGGUGAUACCCACCAGAAGGUCAAUGAAUUUCGUUUCCUUCCACCUGAAGGCUGCAGAGGAUUGCAGCUGUCCACAGCAAGAAACUCAUCAUUCACUCUCUGAUCAGCACAUACAGUUGUUUGUUGCAGACCAUUGCAUUAGCCAGACAGGGCCAUAUGAGGGAUGCUGCAUGAGGUCCUGUUGCAUUUAACCUGCUAGAAGAUGGAGAGUGUUUUGAAUUAUCUGUAUGUUUCAUUUGUUGCCUGUCUUUGGUCAGCUGAAACAAUAAAGCAGUUCACUGUGUAGCUUUCGUACCA